UAAUACGUAGGGUCCGAGCGUUGUCCGGAAUUAUUGGGCGUAAAGGGCUCGUAGGCGGUCUGUUGCGUCGGGAGUGAAAUCUUACAGCUUAACUGUGAACUUGCUUUCGAUACGGGCAGACUUGAGGCAUUCAGGGGAGAACGGAAUUCCUGGUGUAGCGGUGAAAUGCGCAGAUAUCAGGAGGAACACCGGUGGCGAAGGCGGUUCUCUGGGAAUGUCCUGACGCUGAGGAGCGAAAGUGUGGGGAGCGAACAGGAUUAGAUACCCUGGUAGUCCACACCGUAAACGUUGGGCGCUAGGUGUGGGGCCUAUUCCAUGGGUUCCGUGCCGCAGCUAACGCAUUAAGCGCCCCGCCUGGGGAGUACGGCCGCAAGGCUA
This 378-nucleotide ribosomal RNA is filed under the name uncultured bacterium. RNAcentral describes it as "bacterial SSU rRNA". It matches the Rfam family "Bacterial small subunit ribosomal RNA", at positions 521 to 896 of the family's 1533-position model. The record is from RNAcentral.